CAAAGAUUAAGCCAUGCAUGUCUAAGUAUAAACAAAUUUAUACAGUGAAACUGCGAAUGGCUCAUUAAAUCAGUUAUAAUUUAUUUGAUAUUCACUUACUACUUGGAUAACCGUGGUAAUUCUAGAGCUAAUACAUGCGUACAUAACCUCGACUUCUGGAAGAGGUGCACUUAUUAGAUAAAAAGCCAACGCGGGCAACCGCUUGUAUGGUGAUUCAUAAUAAUUAAUCGAAUCGCAUGGCCUUGUGCCGGCGAUGAUGCAUUCAAAUUUCUGCCCUAUCAAGUUUCGAUGGUAGGUUAGUGGCCUACCAUGCUUUUAACGGGUAACGGGGAAUUAGGGUUCGAUUCCGGAGAGGGAGCCUGAGAAACGGCUACCACAUCCAAGGAAGGCAGCAGGCGCGCAAAUUACCCAAUCCCGACACGGGGAGGUAGUGACAAUAAAUAACAAUACAGGGCCUUUACGGGUCUUGUAAUUGGAAUGAGUACAAUUUAAAUCCCUUAACGAGGAACAAUUGGAGGGCAAGUCUGGUGCCAGCAGCCGCGGUAAUUCCAGCUCCAAUAGCGUAUAUUAAAGUUGUUGCAGUUAAAAAGCUCGUAGUUGAAUUUUGGCCUUCGUCUGUGGGGUUCGGUCUUCAUUGAUCGGUACCUCAACGGACGGGGCUCCACCUUCUGGGUUAGCCAGUCGUCACUUCGGUGGCGGUUGGUGAACCAGAACUUUUACUUUGAAAAAAUUGGAGUGUUUAAAGCAGGCUUUCAAGCUUGAACAUAUUAGCAUGGAAUAAUGAAAUAGGACUUUGGCCUUAUUUCGUUGGUUUCUAAAGCCAAAGUAAUGAUGAAUAGGGAUAGUUGGGGACAUUAGUAUUCAAUUGUCAGAGGUGAAAUUCUUGGAUUUAUUGAAGACUAACUUCUGCGAAAGCAUUUGUCAAGGAUGUUUUCAUUAAUCAAGAACGAAAGUUAGGGGAUCGAAGACGAUCAGAUACCGUCGUAGUCUUAACCAUAAACUAUGCCGACUAAGGAUCGGAUGGUGUUAUAUUUUAUAUUGACCCAUUCGGCAUUUCAGCGAAAGCCAAGUUUUUGGGUUCCGGGGGGAGUAUGGUCGCAAGGCUGAAACUUAAAGG
Molecule: ribosomal RNA, 1117 nt
Filed under: Umbelopsis ovata
Lineage: Eukaryota; Fungi; Mucoromycota; Umbelopsidomycetes; Umbelopsidales; Umbelopsidaceae
Description: SSU rRNA
Rfam family: Eukaryotic small subunit ribosomal RNA
Source: RNAcentral